GCCGAACUGGCUCAGCUGGUAGAGCAACUGAUUCGUAAUCAGUAGGUCGGGGGUUCGAGUCCCCCGUUCGGCACCA
RNAcentral lists this transfer RNA (76 nucleotides) under Holosporaceae bacterium. RNAcentral describes it as "tRNA-Thr". It matches the Rfam family "tRNA". From Rfam's summary of the family: Transfer RNA (tRNA) molecules are approximately 80 nucleotides in length. Their secondary structure includes four short double-helical elements and three loops (D, anti-codon, and T loops). Lineage: Bacteria; Pseudomonadati; Pseudomonadota; Alphaproteobacteria; Holosporales; Holosporaceae. The record is from RNAcentral.